CAUGUGAAACUUAGAAAUAAAUAGAAAAUGAUAGAAAAUGAUAAAACUUCCAAAAGAAGAUAUAGGAUAAUAUCUUCAUUGCUUUGGGUUGGCAAAAAUUUCUUAAACAAAAAAGACAUUCACUUCAAAUAAAUAAAAGAAAAAUGAUAAAUCAAGCUAUGAUAAAAUUAAGGACUUCUGUCUUCAAAAAAUAUUCAGAAUGAAGAGGCAAGCCACAGAGUAGGAAAAGAUAUUUGCAAUCACAUCCAGAAUACCUAAAGAACCACUACCAAAAUAACAAACAAACAAACAAAAACCCAUGAAUAGUCUGAGAGAAAAUGGGCCAAAGACUUGAAAAGACACUUACACACACACACACACACCCAAAAAUGCACAAGUAUACUCAAUUUAAUUAUCAAGAAAAUAAGAAAUUACCGUGACAUGCCCCUACUCAUCCAUCAGAAUAGCUAACAUUCUUAAACAAUAGCAAAUGUUAGAGAGGCAUUGGGGCAAUCAGAACUCAUAUCCACUGCUGUGAGAAUAAGUGGAUACCAACAUGUUGAAAACUGGCAAUAUUUACUAAAGUUCAACAUACGUGUACCCUAUGAUGAAAUACAUCUACUCCCUGAUAUAUACCUAAUAAAUAUUUGUUCAUUUAUUUACCGAAGACCUAGAUAAGAAUGUGGAGCUUCCAAACAAUCUGCCUGUCAAUGCAGGAAAUGCCAGGAGAUGGGUUCUAUCCCUGGGUUGGGAAGAUCCCUUGGAGGAGGGCGUGGGAAAUCCCAUGGAUAGAGGAGCCUGGCAGGCUACAGUCCACGGGGUCACAAGAGAGUCAGACCUGACCUAGCAGACAACAACAACAACAACAACAACAACAGUGCAACAGAAUACCAUUCAGUGAUGAAAACAAGCACGAUGGCUGCACACAACAUCAUCGAUAAGCCUCACAUACUUGACAUUGAGCAAAAUGUCAGAUACAGAAGAGUGUACACUGGUCUCAUGCAUACAAAAUUCAAAAAAGAGGCAAAAUCCAUUGUUGGUGAUAGAAGUGAGAAUACUGGAGGGUCUAAGGGGCUGGUGAUCUGGAGGAGACAUGAGAGGGCUUCUUAGGUGCUGAGAAGGUUCUGCUUUUUGUUCUGCAUGCUGCUCAUAUGGAUGUGUUCACUAGGUGAAAACUCACUGAGCUCUGCACUUAGGGUUGGUAGAUUUUCUGUAUGUAAAUUUUACUUCAAUAAAAAGUUUACUGAACUCAGACCCAAACCCUUGUUUUCAGGAUAGGGCCUGAGAAGAAGGCUGUCAAUUAGCCAAGGAAAGGGGCCUCAGAAGAAGCCAACCUUGCUGACAUCUUGAUCUUGGACUUCUAGCCUGCAGAGUUGUACCAAACUCCAAACUAGGAAAGCAACCUACUCAGCCACCGAGACUGAUGGUCCUUCCUGUCCAAGCCCUUGUCUGAUAGUUCACAUGGUGCUGGAUACCUGACGGGAUCAGAGGAAUCGGUGAGUGCAUCUCCCCAGAAGAGCUCUUUGGCUCCUUUUUCACAGCAAAGAAAAAGUUCUACACACCCCAUUGCCCUUUUAAAGACAGUGGAUAUUGGAACGCCAAGGCUCAGAUACAACUGCGUGCUGAAUCUCAACGUUUCCAGGCAGUUGAAUCUGGACAAAGACAAAUAGUCUGGACUCACCUCAGUGCACUUCGGAUCUGAG
This is a long non-coding RNA of Dama dama (fallow deer), 1682 nucleotides long. RefSeq lists it as uncharacterized. NCBI's taxonomy places the organism in Eukaryota, Metazoa, Chordata, Mammalia, Artiodactyla, Cervidae. The transcript has 3 exons. The record is from RefSeq and is a predicted model, not a curated record.